GACGAACGCUGGCGGCGUGCUUAACACAUGCAAGUCGAACGAUGAAGAAAAGAAUUGAAGCUUCGGCAGAAAUUCAUUUCGGAUUAGUGGCAGACGGGUGAGUAACGCGUGAGCAACCUACCUCUUACAAAGGGAUAGCCUCGGGAAACCGGGAUUAAUACCAUAUAACAUUGCGACGAAGCAUUUCGAUGCAAUCAAAGCUACGGCGGUAAGAGAUGGGCUCGCGUCCCAUUAACCAGAUGGUGGGGUAACGGCUCACCAUAGUAACGAUGGGUAACCGGCCUGAGAGGGUGAACGGUCACACUGGAACUGAGACACGGUCCAGACUCCUACGGGAGGCAGCAGUGGGGAAUAUUGCACAAUGGAGGGAACUCUGAUGCAGCGACGCCGCGUGAGUGAUGAAGGAAUUCGUUUCGUAAAACUCUGUUCUAUGGGAAGAAAAGGACUGUACCAUAGGAGAAAGCUCCGGCUAAAUACGUG
RNAcentral lists this ribosomal RNA (480 nucleotides) under uncultured bacterium. RNAcentral describes it as "partial 16S ribosomal RNA". It matches the Rfam family "Bacterial small subunit ribosomal RNA", at positions 28 to 507 of the family's 1533-position model. The record is from RNAcentral.